Long non-coding RNA from Lycium barbarum (goji berry), 3489 nucleotides. RefSeq lists it as uncharacterized. The record is from RefSeq and is a predicted model, not a curated record. Lineage: Eukaryota; Viridiplantae; Streptophyta; Magnoliopsida; Solanales; Solanaceae. The transcript is spliced from 3 exons.
AAGUUACAGUACUUUAUAGAUAUUUUUCUGUUGAAGUUUACUUGUUUAUUCUCAUCUCUUUUUCCUAAAUCUUUUUAGUAUUGGAUUUUUGUUUUAUAAGUUAUCACUUCUUAAUUUAGGGUCCCGCCGGUCAGUAGUGUAUACAUGCAAGCCCAAAACUAGUGUUCCUUAGUGUGGUGUUUCCAUUUUCCCUCCAAUUAAAUAAAGAACACCUUGGGUAGUGUAAGAGAGAGGGACAAUUGGUGCGGUGGGGUAAGGUAAUAAUAGGUUGGGCAAUAGCGCUGCACGUUGGAGCUGGUGACAUACCCAUGGAUCUGCCCCCCGAUCUUUGUGAGCCCAGAGAAGCCUGUCUUCGCCAUUGCUUGUAGAAGGGCAUCGAUACACUCAAGGCCCACAAAUCCCCUUUGGAUGUUGUCGAACUCGUGGUACCGUUAUUACGGUACACAUUUUUGCGGGUGGGCUUAGCGCUCGAAAAAGCUAUUUCAAAAUCUUUGGUGCUCUUUCGAACUUUGUUUUAAAAGAGUCGCCACCUAAUUUUAAUGAAAUUAGGAAAACCGGUGGUGAAGGGUUUAUUCAAAUACAAUGAAAAAUCCUUCGUAAUUCAGAGUUCUAGGUAAGGGUUCUGGUGAUCCCCUAGGGAAGGUGUUAGGCACCCCAGUAUUAAGGAUCCGUAAAAUAUAGUUGACCUUCGAGCUUCAAUGUGUGAUUAUGUAUAAAUUGCUUAUGUUUUAUUUAGUUUCCCGUAUAAAAAUAUACUGUCGUGGCAUAUCAUUUUGGCUUUAAAAGAAUUAAAGAAUUUCCCUUUAAGUAAGGGUAGUUCAAGUUCGGAUUAAAACAUCCGUGAUAAAAUAGUUUGUCCUUUUACUUAUGAGGAUAGUAUACUGGGUAUAUCCUAUUUAAAACUAAUGCCAUGUGUUUGUAUAUAAGAAGAAAUAUAUAUAUAUAUAUAUAUAUAUAUAUCUGUAUAGCCUUAAUUUAAUUUGUACAUUAUCCGCAUUUUAUCACUCCAGUCAACCAUAUCCUCAGAACUACUUUCUCAAACUCGAGUUUGAAAGAAAUUUCAAUUAUUUGAAUUCAUUAAGUAGGCGUUUGGACAUGCGAUUUCAUCUCAUGAGAUGAAAUCAACGUUUGGACAUGCGAUUUCAUCUCUGAUUUCAUCUCAUGAGAUGAAAUCCCAAAGCAUCCAGAAAGGCAUGAUUUGGGAUUUGAAAUCAUGAUUUCAAAAAGUAUAAAUAUAAAAUUUAACCCAUACGUUUACAUUUUGUAAAAAAAGACCCAUAAGUUGGUAGAUAUAUUUACCAAUCAUGUUUACCAACCAUAAGUUGGUAGAUAUAUUGUUCGUAUCAUGUGAGAGGAUUAUAUUAAAGAGUAGUUACAUUACUAUUCGUGUUAAAUUUUCCUUUUUAUUAAACUAAAGUUUGAUCAACUGAUGUUGUAUUUUUUAGAAAGGCCUUCUAGUAGCAUAUUAAUUUUAUUAUGAACUAUGAUUUACUUAUUUGGUAAGAUUUUAUGAGAAUUGGAAUUUUUUUGAUGGUUUUCUCAACUUAUGGGGUUUUUAUGUUUAUAAAAAAACUGCAACUUAAGAAAUUCAAAUGCAUGUCCAAACAUGAUUUCAUCUCACGAUUUCAUCUCAUGAGAUGAAAUCAUGUCCAAACGGCUCCUAACUCGGGUCUAGCCCAAAUGUUUCUUUUACUUUCUUUUCUCAGAUUUCUCAAAUUAAAAUACACUUUUAAAGAGGUAUUAAAAAAUAAUCAACUUUUUGCAAGAAAAAUAUACUUUCACUUUUAUUUAUUUUAAUCAAGUGGGAUACAACUCUUUUAUCGUUGGGAUAAAGUUUUGAAACAUCGUUUACCCAAAUCAUAGGUUAUAACCAUAGGUUCUAACCUGUAGGGGUUCCAAUAUCUAUAUCAAUGUAUUUGCAUAUCAUACAAAAAAUAAUGUAUAAUUAUGAGCCCGUUUGGAUUGGCUUAUAAGUUGUUUUCAGCUUUUUUGAGUAUUUGGCUGGCCAGCUUAUACGCCAUUUUGUGCUUAAAAUAAGCCAAAAAAAUAAUUGGGCCCGUUUGGCUUAGCUUAUCUAAAGCAGUUUAUAAGCUGAAAACAACUUAUAAGCCAAAAAAAUAAGUUGGGCUACCCCAACGUUUUUUUUUUGGCUUAUAAGUUGAUUUUUUUGGCGUAUAAGCUGUUUUCAGCUUAUAAGCCGCUUUUUUUAAGCCCAUCCAAACAGGCUCUAUAUUACAAGAAGGGGAAGAAAAGUUUAGCUUUUUGAGGCCUUGAGCCCAAAUCAUUCAGCAGUCUUGUUCUCGUUCUUCUAUACUCCUUCAUUCGAACUGUUCGGCCUUCAACUUUACUUCACUUCGUCUUUGGUAGAAUCUCAUCUCACGGACCCAUAUUGAUUAGAUGUACCUCGCACGAAUUGUUACACCUUGAAAAUGUUAUACCCCGUACAUUUAUACGACGAAUUAUCCGCAAGCAAAUCGACUCAAGUUAAAGGCGAAAUUAUUUUCGGACAUGAAAUAAGUGCUUUUAAUUUUCAACUUUGAUUAUCACAAAAAUUGCUUAUAAAUUUUAUUUAGCAUAAAAAUAUUAAUAUUGGAGAUUAGGAAUUAAUUUAAUUAUCGAAAGUGGGCCCCACGACACGUGGCGAGAUUUGGUUGGCCUUGAAUAAAGAUGGACACAUGUCAUGAAAAUUUGACACAUGUCCACUUUGUAAAGAUUAUAUAAAUGAGCAUAAGUGGAUGACUACACUACAAUUAAUCUUGCAAAUUAGGUUUUAGAGAGAGGGGCUCUCAAGCCUAGAGAGAGAGGGGUUCGGGGCACUGUUCACGGCCACUGUUCACGCCCAGCCCAUUUUUGCCCCCUUCUACACAAUUAAUUGGAGAGAUUUGAAGAUCAAGAGGAGGAAAAAGAUGGAGCUCAUGGUAGCCAUGGCAACUCACGGCCAUGGCUUUCUUGAAGGCAUUUCAUGGUGAAAAAUUAGAGCUUGUCUCUAAGACCUUGGGGAGCCCGAGGCGUAGAUUUGGAUUAGCUUUAGAUUGGCUAUCUUGGAAGUGCGUUCGAGGUACAUACGACAGGUUCGCUGAUCCGCUCGCUUAGGAUCUUAUUUUGCUAUUCUGAGGCGCUCUCUUAUCCGGAGCCUAUAUUUUUUGGUACAGUCUCCUGCUAUUGUAUAAAUGUACGUCACUCAGGGGUACGACGGGGCCCUGUCCCGUCAUAUGAUUCUGUCGGUCUGUUUAGAGGUCUGUGGACAUGUUUGUGGGUUGGGGGUCUUCCUGUAUGAAUGCGUGUAUAUGUUGUGUUUGGGCGAUCCCAUUCGCCGCGGCGGCCGGUCCGCAUAUGUUUAAAUGUUGCUUUGUUGGCCUUGGGUGGUCAUUGUUGGUAUUAUCUGUGCGCAGGGUUAAUUUGGAUAGACUGUAAAACAAAGGAAAUUCUGCCGAAAUUUUUCUGGAAAUUAUCUAAAUUUGAAAUAUAGCCUUGUCGGCUUCUGCUAUA